RNAcentral lists this ribosomal RNA (618 nucleotides) under uncultured Xanthomonas sp. Its description in RNAcentral is "bacterial SSU rRNA". It matches the Rfam family "Bacterial small subunit ribosomal RNA", at positions 60 to 671 of the family's 1533-position model. The record is from RNAcentral. Lineage: Bacteria; Pseudomonadati; Pseudomonadota; Gammaproteobacteria; Lysobacterales; Lysobacteraceae.
CGGCAAACAACAACAGAGCUUGCUCUGUCGGGUGGCGAGUGGCGGACGGGUGAGGACAACAUCGGAAUCUACCUUGUCGUGGGGGAUAACGUAGGGAAACUUACGCUAAUACCGCAUACGAACUAUGGUUGAAAGCGGCGGACCGCAAGACGUCGCGCGAUUGGAUGAGCCGAUGUCCGAUUAGCUAGUUGGCGGGGUAAAGGCCCACCAAGGCGACGAUCGGUAGCUGGUCUGAGAGGAUGAUCAGCCACACUGGAACUGAGACACGGCCCAGACUCCUACGGGAGGCAGCAGUGGGGAAUAUUGGACAAUGGGGGCAACCCUGAUCCAGCCAUGCCGCGUGUGUGAAGAAGGCCUUCGGGUUGUAAAGCACUUUUGUUGGGGAAGAAAAGCACUGGGUUAAUACCUUGGUGUCAUGACGGUACCCAAAGAAUAAGCACCGGCUAACUUCGUGCCAGCAGCCGCGGUAAUACGAAGGGUGCAAGCGUUACUCGGAAUUACUGGGCGUAAAGCGUGCGUAGGCGGUUUGUUAAGUCUGUCGUGAAAGCCCCGGGCUCAACCUGGGAAUGGCGAUGGAUACUGGCGAGCUAGAGUACGGUAGAGGAGAGUGGAAUUCCC